This 724-nucleotide ribosomal RNA is filed under the name Bacillus sp. MN63. RNAcentral describes it as "bacterial SSU rRNA". It matches the Rfam family "Bacterial small subunit ribosomal RNA", at positions 385 to 1100 of the family's 1533-position model. The record is from RNAcentral. Lineage: Bacteria; Bacillati; Bacillota; Bacilli; Caryophanales; Bacillaceae.
GACGGAGCAACGCCGCGUGAGUGAUGAAGGUUUUCGGAUCGUAAAGCUCUGUUGUUAGGGAAGAACAAGUGCAAGAGUAACUGCUUGCACCAUGACGGUACCUAACCAGAAAGCCACGGCUAACUACGUGCCAGCAGCCGCGGUAAUACGUAGGUGGCAAGCGUUGUCCGGAAUUAUUGGGCGUAAAGGGCUCGCAGGCGGUUUCUUAAGUCUGAUGUGAAAGCCCCCGGCUCAACCGGGGAGGGUCAUUGGAAACUGGGAAACUUGAGUGCAGAAGAGGAGAGUGGAAUUCCACGUGUAGCGGUGAAAUGCGUAGAGAUGUGGAGGAACACCAGUGGCGAAGGCGACUCUCUGGUCUGUAACUGACGCUGAGGAGCGAAAGCGUGGGGAGCGAACAGGAUUAGAUACCCUGGUAGUCCACGCCGUAAACGAUGAGUGCUAAGUGUUAGGGGGUUUCCGCCCCUUAGUGCUGCAGCUAACGCAUUAAGCACUCCGCCUGGGGAGUACGGUCGCAAGACUGAAACUCAAAGGAAUUGACGGGGGCCCGCACAAGCGGUGGAGCAUGUGGUUUAAUUCGAAGCAACGCGAAGAACCUUACCAGGUCUUGACAUCCUCUGACAACCCUAGAGAUAGGGCUUUCCCUUCGGGGACAGAGUGACAGGUGGUGCAUGGUUGUCGUCAGCUCGUGUCGUGAGAUGUUGGGUUAAGUCCCGCAACGAGCGCA